GGGGCUGACUUGGCUUUGACAGCGUGUAGAGGUGGUAGGUAAGCAUGCAGAGCGAUGAUGGCAAUGCUCUAUAAUAUCAGUCAUUACUAAAUUUUAAAUGGCGAAAACACUUACGCUCUCGCUGCUUGAUCUGAAGCACAGUAGGAUCGCUUAAUCUCUGUCCCAGGGAUAGAGACGAGACAUCGCCCGGUGGCCCUUUCUGCGAGGCUUAUCGACAUGGCGGUGCAGGUAUAUCGGAGAUAGAACGGAUCAUGCCUCGAGGUCUGUUCGAAAUUUAGAGGCUAAGCUCCAGGUUGGUAGUCUUGAUCCUGCCUGAAGUCGAAAACCAAGUCAAGACUAAGCAUGUAGAAAGCUUAUUAGUUCCGCGUUUGGACGAGGGUUCAAACCCCUCCAGCUCCACUG
Molecule: transfer-messenger RNA, 402 nt
Filed under: Muribaculaceae
Lineage: Bacteria; Pseudomonadati; Bacteroidota; Bacteroidia; Bacteroidales
Also listed under: 1 other name
Description: Sodaliphilus sp018065815 Standard tmRNA
Rfam family: transfer-messenger RNA
About the family: Bacterial tmRNA, also known as 10Sa RNA or SsrA, is named for its dual tRNA and mRNA-like properties. Its role is to liberate the mRNA from a stalled ribosome.
Source: RNAcentral